Long non-coding RNA from Felis catus (domestic cat), 6552 nucleotides. RefSeq lists it as uncharacterized. NCBI's taxonomy places the organism in Eukaryota, Metazoa, Chordata, Mammalia, Carnivora, Felidae. The transcript has 7 exons. The record is from RefSeq and is a predicted model, not a curated record.
CGCACGAGAUCAGCUGUUACGAGUAUGCCCAUCAUGAGGAGUUUCCCAUUUUUUAAAGGGGGAGAAUCAAAGUUCAGACAGACUCGCCCAAGCCCAUACGGCCGUCCAAUGAUACAGCCAGAAUGGGAACCCGUAAGGCUCCGUCUGUGGCGUUGGGGCACAGAAGGGAAAAAAAAAAACCAGAGAGAAAAGUUCUUGUUGCCUGAAGCUAACAUUUUAGUAGAAGAAUACAGACAGCUGAUAAAUAAGUUAAAUACAAAUAGAAUAGCAUCUACUACUAAGGGGUUAUAGGAACUAUGAAGAAAAACAGAGGAGGAAACAGGAAUCUGGAGUACUAGAAAUGGGAUGAAGUUUUUUUUUUCCUCCUAAUUUAAACUUUUUGUCCCUCUCAUUAAAAAAAGAGAGAAAGAAAGAAAGAAUGAAAGAAAGAAAGAGAAAAAAAGAAAUAAUCUUACAGCAUCAGCCAAUGACCAGAGAGUAGUCAUUUUACAAGGCAGCGUCAGUAUUCAUUUUUUUCUUGGUUCUGUAUUUAGAAGACAUGUUUGUAUUUUUUCAGUGAAGACUCUUGAUUUUAGCAAAUUGCUUGAGGUAGGUAUUCUUUAUCAUGUUAAAGAAGCAUUUGCUAGACUAGACACUUACAACUUUCUUGUAAUAAAGUUGAUGAUUUUCUUCUCUCGCUCUACAGGGGACAUACUUUAGAAUCAAAGAAACAGAUAUGGAAACAAAAGAAUCAGAAAUGAUAUCAUGUCAAGAAAGCAUGAGAGACUCAGAGUAGCCAAACUUGCAAUAGACAUACUGGACCAUAAAACAAUGACUUUCUUAAGAGAGACAAAGGACAUUUCAUAAUAAUGAAAUAUAUAUAUGUAUGUGUGUGUGUGUGUGUGUGUGUGUGUGUGUGUGUAUACACAUAUACUUAACAACAGAGUUCUAAGUUACUUGAAUCAAAAACAGAACAAUUCAGGGAGAAAUAGAAAACUCAACAGUAAUAAUUGCAGACACGAAUAGCCCACUUUAAAUACUGGACAAGACAAUUGGACAGAUUAUUGACAAGUUUAGGUAAGACUUGAGCACUAUAGAAACCAAUCAGAGCUAACAUACCACAGACACAACACUUUACCCGAAGAAAACAGAAUACAAAUUCUUCUCGAGCAUAAAUGGAACACUCCAGAGGGUAACAUCCAUUCAAGCCUGUAAAACAAGACUUCUGAAUUUGAAAAUAUUGACAUAGAUAUGGAUACAAGUAUAUUCUAAAAUUUCAAUAUAACUAGAAAUCACCAUGAGAAAGAAAUUUGAAAAAUUCAUAAGUAUGUGAAAAUUAUAAAAUAUGUUUCUUAAAAAAACAGUUGGUCAAAGAAGAGACUAGAAGAGAAAUUAUAAAAUAUUUUCGGAUAUGUUAAAAUGAAAACAAAACAUACCAAACUCAUGAAAUGCAGUUAAAACUAUUUCGGAGAAAAUUUACAAUGGGAAAUGUUUGUAUUAAAAAAGAAAACAGACCUCAAAUCAAUAACCUACCAUUUUUUACCUUGAGACACUGAAAAGAAAAACAAAAUAAACCUUAAGAAAACAAGGAAGGAAGUAAAGAUCGGAGCAGGAAUUAAAGAAAUAAAGAAAAGAAAAACAAUAGAGAAAAUCAAGAAAAUGCAAAGUAAGCCCUUGGGAGCGAUCAACACACUUGAUAUAUUUUCAGCAAGACAAACCAAGAAAAAAAGACAGAAGACAUGUACCAUCAAAAUUAGAAACAUAAGAGGGGACACUGGGGCUGACUUUACAGAAAUUCAGAAAGAUUGUGAUGAAAUACGACUAACAACUUACGCCAACAAAUUAGACAACUUGGAUGAAAAAGAGAAAUUCCUAGAAAUGCAAAACUACCGACACUGACUCAUAAAGAAAUACAAAAUGCAAACAUACCCACCACAGGAAAGUGUCGAAUUAUUCGUAUGAAAGCCUCCCAUGAAGGAAAGAGCAAAGCUAAAAUGGUUUCACUGCCCAACCGAAUUCGCAAUUCAAAUGGCAAAUUCCCCCAAACAUCCCAGGAAGAAUUAAUACCAGUCCCUCACAAAAUCCUCCCAGAAAUCUAAGGAAGCAUCACUCUCCAGCACAUGGUGUGCGUCUAGAAUUUUCCUGUUCCCAAACCAAAGGUACUUCAAUAAAGGAAAACUGCAGACCAAGAAAUCCUCAACAACAUGCCAGCAAAUUUCAUCCAGCAGAACAUAAAAGGGAUGGUGUGGAUUACCACCACCACGUGGGAUUUAUGUCGGGUAUGCAACGUUCUUACGACAGCCAGAACCCAAUUGUGAUGCGUUGCAUUAAAAAAAUAAAGAACAAAGGCCACAUGACCAUCCAAAGAGAUACGAGAAAAAAAAAAGGGAAAGAAAAAAAAAAUUUGAGAAAACCCAACCUCUUUCGUGACAAAAACACUCAGAAAUUAGACACAGGAAGGAACUUUCUUAACCCAGCAAAGGGCAUGUAGGAAAAUGCCACAGCCAACACGUUCACACUGAAUGACUGACAGCUUUAAGACGAGGAGCACACCGGUCCAUCAAGGCUGCCCGGUUUCACCAGGCCGUCCCAUAUUGUAUUGGAAGUUCUAGCCAGAACAAUCAGGCAAGAAAAAGAAACAAAAGGCAACCAAAUUGGAAAGCGCAGCCACUUUACAAAACAGUUGGCCAAUUUCUCAAAAUGCUAAACAUAGAGAAAUCAGAUGACUUUCUAAACCCACACCCCCAAGUAUCUCUCUAAGAGAUUUGGAAACAAACAUCCACGUAAACAUCCUUCCCUGUCCCCGAAUGUUGUUGAUAGUAGCAUUUUUCGUAACAGUCAAAACAUGGAGACAGCUCAAAUGUCCAUUGUCUGAUCCUGGAUAGGUAAUGCGGAUAUCACGUACAACGGAAUAGUAUUCUCCAAUAAAAAAUGAAACGCAGAUACAAGCUGCAACAUGAAAAAACCUUGAAACGUUAUGCCUAAUGAAAGAAGCCAGUCACAAAGACCGUGUAUGGUAUGAUUCUGUGUAUAUGAAAUGCCCAGUGUAUGCAAAUGUAUGGAAUCAAAAUACGGAUUAGUGUGCCCAGAGCUCGGGAAAUUUGGCAGAAAAGAGUAAGUCUCUUGCUACCACAUCCAGGGAACAACUGAAUUUUAUGACAGAGUGGAUUUAUUGUUUAUAGAUUUAUAAUACGUAAAUUGUAUUACGCAGAUCCCAGGUCUGUAUUGCCUGCUGUCCAAGAUCUGACCGUAUUUGCACCUGAAAGUUUUCCAGUUUUCUACCUCUUUGCUUGAGAGAAGAAAAAUCUUCAACCUUCUAGUCACAAGGUCAGCGGGGUGUGCAGUAUUUUUCCCUUGACCUUUUUGUCAUCUCCCUCGAUGUGGAAGAAGCUGGAAAGCCCGCACACAAGAUCUACGGUAUGCUGACCCAAAUGCCCUCUCCACAUCUCCCAUGACCGCCUAAUGGUUGUCCCAGACCUGGCUUCACCAACGCUCACCAUUCUCUACACUGAACUCUCAGAGCGUCCUUCUCAAACAGAAGUCUGAUAACACCACUCUGUUCUUCAACUUUCUCAUUGGCUUCUUGCUGUCUUCAUAGCAACUUUUAUUCCCCCGGUGUGGUGUGCAAGGCCUUCCCUGCCCAGUUGCCCUGUAAGGGCUCAGCCCUGUGCCCAGCACCCCCUUGAGUGGAAGGCAGCAUAGCUCAAUCUUUGCCCUUUUGCUCAGAUGCCACUCUCUCUCACAUCUGAGCGAUGCUACCUCCAUCGAGAAGGUUCUUUCCCUCCCUUCUCCUCUGCUACCUGGUAACCUCUACCUGUUAGAAAAAUAAUUAGUGCUAACUCUGUGACACAUUAUUGAGAAUUCCCCACGUGCCCUCUACCUCUCCUGUCACACAUUCAAAUCACUGAGUGAACGUCCCCACUCAGGGAUAUGUGCUUCUGCACUGGACAGAUGUGAACAGAAGGUUCAGAGGAAUGUUCUCCCCAAAUGUCAGAUGACUCACAGGUAGACUUAAACACAGGUCUCUGACUAUGAAAUCCUAGCUACUUCCAUUAUGCCAAGCUGCCUUUCUGAAAAUCCAAGUAAGUAUGAUCUCAUCCAGGAAGUCUAUCGUGAUGACUGCUGUGCACUGAAUACUACGGGCCCGUGAACGGAAUUAGUGCCCUUAUGAAAGACCCCAAAGAGCUCCCUCCUCCCUUCCCCACUGUGAGGACACAGCAGAAGGCGGCCGUCUGUGAACCAAGAAGGGGACCCUCACCAGACAUUGAGCGCCCUGGCAACCUGAUCUUGGACUGCCAACCUCCAGAACCGUGACAAAUAAAUGUCUUUCAGACUUUGUUACAGUAACAAACCAGCUAAGGCAAUGACCUCCAUGAUCUGUGCUCACAAGCACAUCUCUUGGGACAUCUUGCUCGAUCCUCUGUACACACGUCCGCUUGUCUGCAUGGUGAGCUCUGUGGGGAAGGUGAAUGUGCUGUUUUUACGUGCCCCUCACCGACCAGCACAGCUGCCCUAGGAAUCUGAAAAUACCGAAUGAAUGUUCGAAUGAAUACAUUCAUAGAUAGAACCGGAUAGAAAGCUGGAACGGAGCGUGAGUGAUGGCUCACAAUGUGAACAUCUCCAUGGUGAAAUAAAGCCUUCCAUCACCUAGGGACACCCACGUGAGCACACACUCACGUGUAUACACAUCAUCAGCGCAUGUUCCCUUCUGUAAGGCGACGCUCUUGGUGUUACAGAAAGAACGUGUACUGAUUAUGUAACUUAAUAAUAUAUUAGGGAGACAGUUGGGAGGUUAAAGUUGUCGGAAAACCAGACAGGGUCUGUGUUAGCUCUCUGCUUUCUAAGUGGCUUUAAUUAAACCCUGUACACGCUGUUCCUCGUCUCCCCUUUCUGUGUUUUGGAUUCUGUCUCAAACUAAGGAACUACAAUCCUAAAUGAAACGCGCAGCCCAGGUAGAGAAGUCAGGGAGCCAGGGCUUUUAGAGCAGGGCUUCCUCUGAGAUCGUUAUUAUUUCUCUUGCCAAACAGGCACCUUUUCGAUGCGGUUUCUGUCUCCGUCUUAACCACGUUCACACACUUCCCCACAGACUGACAUUUUCCUCCAGAUAUCUCCCUAAUUACACGAUUCAUCUACCACUUGAAACACCCUUACUUGCACAUACCUCUUAAGAUUUUUCUUCCCGGUGCCCAGAAAUGUCAAUUAAAGAGCUUCCAGAAUGCCGUCUCAGGACCUACCUCUAGUCAUUGUCCCUCUGAAAUCAGAAUUUGAAAACCAUUGCGUGUCAGGUUGGCAAAUAUCUCCGCCACCACGAGUCAGUGUGUUACAAUUAAUAUUUCAAAUCAAAAAUGUUAGCAUGCCGAAUAUCCUUCAAGGGAAUCGUUUACUCUCUCAGUGCAUCCGUGUGAUUUAAUCAAAUGUCAGUGUGAAAUAGGAAACGCUGUGUCUGGGGGCUUUGGGUUGACAUUUAAAUUCCAUUCGUAUCUACCUGUUGUAACAUGGACUUACACAGUGAAGAAACCAAGGUUAACCAUCUUUUGAAAUAAGUGAAAAGUUACAUAACUUUUACCUAAAUGAUAAAGACCUUUAAUAAUGAGGACUUUUUUUACUCUCGACUCUACAGUGCUUUCUUAUGUUUUGUUAUUUGUGGCAUUUCAGAUUUAUCUUGUGGAAGGGAAGAACCUUCUGUGUUCCUCCCUGUGAUCCGUAGGGAAUGUUCUGCCAGCUGGACGUGAUUUUAUAGCCAAGGUCCUGCCUACAGUUCAGGGACUUGUUGGCAGUCAUGAAUACAUGUUCACAAAUACGUUUAAGUGUCUGGUGGAUGGGCUUCCAGAAACAUCUCCGCAUGGUCUCUAGCUCUCUGCAUUUGGAUGCGUAUAGUGAGUAUAUCAUCAGUACAAAAGGUGUAACCCGCAGAGAAGAAUUACGGGACUACAGAAAUCCACUGCAAACGAGUAGAAGGCCCAGGCAGGCCCACAAAUCCUGCUGGAAUCUUCACACGAUGACGGGAAGUUUCUCCUGAGCAUCAGCUGGAGUGACUCGGGGUGGCCCGUCGGUCCCGUGACCCUGGUCCCAGGUGAUACACCUGAGAGGCCUCGGGUCCACCGAUCUCUGAGUCAGAGGAGGGGCCGUGGCCCAGGAAGGAAGACCAGGUUGUCAUUUGUGCUUAAAUCCAUGGGGACCCCAGACACGGGCCUGUCUGCAGAUUUCUUCUCUCUUUUCUCGUUGUUUUUAGGGACCUUUGGUUGUAUAAUAACAUCCUCCUAAUGUAUCCAUGUUCUUUUAAAUCAGAAGCUUGGGAUUUUCCUUGAGAGUAAGUAUGUGCUCUUGGCGUAAAAGGGUCUCACAUUUCUCAGUGCCUUGGGCAAAUUUCCGUUCCUCUCUGAGCUUUCGCUUCUGCAUCUGGGAAAGGAUAACUCACAUUGAACAAUGUAAUAUGUAAGGUUCCUUACAGGUGUAAGUUUUCUUCUGGGUCGGUUUUCAUGAUCUGCUUUCAUAGUCUUAGGUUUACAGGAACUGUGUUAGGAAUACGUCAGGGAAGGCGGCAAUAGUUUAAUAAAUAUAUGAAAACACUCA